This 464-nucleotide ribosomal RNA is filed under the name Vreelandella stevensii. Its description in RNAcentral is "partial 16S ribosomal RNA". It matches the Rfam family "Bacterial small subunit ribosomal RNA", at positions 338 to 795 of the family's 1533-position model. The record is from RNAcentral. Lineage: Bacteria; Pseudomonadati; Pseudomonadota; Gammaproteobacteria; Oceanospirillales; Halomonadaceae.
CCUACGGGUGGCAGCAGUGGGGAAUAUUGGACAAUGGGCGAAAGCCUGAUCCAGCCAUGCCGCGUGUGUGAAGAAGGCCUUCGGGUUGUAAAGCACUUUCAGUGGGGAAGAAAGCCUUGGGGCUAAUACCCUCGAGGAAGGACAUCACCCACAGAAGAAGCACCGGCAACUCCGUGCCAGCAGCCGCGGUAAUACGGAGGGUGCGAGCGUUAAUCGGAAUUACUGGGCGUAAAGCGCGCGUAGGCGGUCUGAUAAGCCGGUUGUGAAAGCCCCGGGCUCAACCUGGGAACGGCAUCCGGAACUGUCAGGCUAGAGUGCAGGAGAGGAAGGUAGAAUUCCCGGUGUAGCGGUGAAAUGCGUAGAGAUCGGGAGGAAUACCAGUGGCGAAGGCGGUCUUCUGGACUGACACUGACGCUGAGGUGCGAAAGCGUGGGUAGCAAACAGGAUUAGAUACCCUGGUAGUC